This 32-nucleotide non-coding RNA is filed under the name Trypanosoma brucei brucei. Lineage: Eukaryota; Euglenozoa; Kinetoplastea; Trypanosomatida; Trypanosomatidae. The record is from RNAcentral.
ACAACAAACAGAUACGAGAACUGAUAGAGAAU